Long non-coding RNA from Chelonia mydas (Green sea turtle), 374 nucleotides. RefSeq lists it as uncharacterized. The transcript has 3 exons. Lineage: Eukaryota; Metazoa; Chordata; Testudines; Cheloniidae. The record is from RefSeq and is a predicted model, not a curated record.
AUUUGAAGGAGCCAGAGGCGGUGGGCAGUAAGGUCGCAUAUCAGCUCCAAAAGAAUAGGAAAGAAGAUAGCUGGUUACAAUUCUCCUGCUUCUCACAGUACAAUAUGGUUCCAUGGGAUUUGGUCCUUGAUAGAAUCAAAACAGGGAUGGGGACUUAAGCAACCUGGCUGGAGAGAUCAGUCAUGAAAAAGGGGCAAGCCACCCCAGGCCUAGGAGAGACUGCUGCUGACACAGGGUGCUGGAUCUGAAGAGGCUGUUACACCAUGCUUAGCUAUGAGGGGGUCCACGGGCUGGUGAUUGAUGCCUCUACAGGAAGGUCUCAGAAUUAAGUUAGAUUCACAAUUCUAAUACUAUGGAGCUAAAAUUGAUGCAUU